RNAcentral lists this long non-coding RNA (363 nucleotides) under Cairina moschata (Muscovy duck). Its description in RNAcentral is "domestica (muscovy Duck (domestic type)) lncRNA (ENSCMMG00000013945.1)". Lineage: Eukaryota; Metazoa; Chordata; Aves; Anseriformes; Anatidae. The record is from RNAcentral.
AUGUACAACAGAUACCCCAUCCUGUUUGCAGUUACCCAGCUCAAAACCAAAAGCUUCUCGAAGCCCAGCGUGGAGCAGAGGAGCCGAGCCCCCCGCCUCUCACCCAGUGCAGCCUUUCAGCACGUGCCAGUCCUCGAGCCUACGCGCGGUCCUGUUGACACCGCAGCAACUCAGCACCUUGCACAUCUGAACCUUUCAGUCUCACCAUGCAACUGGAAGAAGAUCUCCACUCAGACUCCUUUUACAACCUCCUCUGUCACGUUUGGGUGGUGCAUCACUGUUUGGGACGUGGCCCUGGCAGGGAGCUCAGUGCUUUUCCUUUCCCCACAGAAGGAGUUCCUGUGUGGUGCUGGGAAGAAAUGA